Long non-coding RNA from Sycon ciliatum, 815 nucleotides. RefSeq lists it as uncharacterized. The record is from RefSeq and is a predicted model, not a curated record. The transcript has 4 exons. Lineage: Eukaryota; Metazoa; Porifera; Calcarea; Leucosolenida; Sycettidae.
CAGCGCUACACUUGCUCUUUGCAUCGAGUGGCACUGUGCCUUUGGUAAAUUCGGACCUUUCGAGUAUUCGUCCAGUCGCUACUGCACUGUGCAAGAUGCUGUUGGCUCAUCUCUUGUGGAACUAACUUGCACUGGCGAAGGGCUGCUCUUAGUCCUAGUAGUUGCCCCAUGAUGGCCACAGUCAGGCUGGGCCACCGCCCUCUAUACGGUAAAGUUCGACGUUACCGCCGCUCUGUACACACGUUCUACGGACCCGCCGCUCUGGCGUGAGUUUCUACGUACUAUCCAGAUAACCCGUCUGAGCGCCGGUUACAGUAUGGUAUACCGAAUACAGCAUAGUACGCUAGCAUAGUGCAUUCUGACAGUGUGUGCUCAAGGCAAGAUUCUCAGUAAUCCAUGCGUUCCCACAAUACAGUGGAGGUGAUCCUGGUAUUGCAGUGCCAACACCGAAUCCGCUCUCGCACCGAGCUCUGCACCAUCCCAGGCCCGAUCUGCUCUCGGAAGUUCACACGUCCCAGUACCUGGCUCAACACAAAUGCAAGAAGAAACUCUGUCCUCCUGCUGCAUCCCCGUUAGGUGGCAGUUUCAAGGUUCAAGCAGUCCAGUCAGCAGUCCAGUCAGCCGUCCAGUCAGCAAUCCAGUCAGCAGUCCAGCCAGCAGUCUGGUCAGCAGUCCAGCCAGCAGUCUGGUCAGCAGUCUGGAUUGCUUCCAUCUCAAGCAGCAGUCUGGAUUGCUUCCAUCUCAAGCAAAGGCAGAGAGAGAAAAAGAACAACUGCAAGAACAGAUGGCAGAAGCAGUGUUCAAGGCGUGAUAGG